RNAcentral lists this unclassified non-coding RNA (781 nucleotides) under Rhipicephalus microplus (southern cattle tick). RNAcentral's name for it is "peptidyl-prolyl cis-trans isomerase-like 3, transcript variant X4". Lineage: Eukaryota; Metazoa; Arthropoda; Arachnida; Ixodida; Ixodidae. The record is from RNAcentral.
CGAAAAUUUCGUUGUCAAAGGUAUAGUAUACCUUCUCUAAAUGGUAGCUGUGAUGGUAGUGUAUCGGUGUUUCUUGAAGGAAGAAGUUCGCGUGUAGGAUGUCGGUUACGCUGCACACGGACCUAGGUGACAUAAAGGUCGAGCUGUUUUGCGAAGCAUGUCCGAAGACAACCGAGAAACGCCAGGAUGUUCGAGAGUCACAUGCGAGGGAAGAGCUGUCUGCGAUGGAAGGAUAACUUCAGAUGUUUUAGGAGGAGCUCCCAUGCUUGUGGCAGAACAGAAUUUCUUGGCCCUUUGUGCUUCAGACUACUACAAUGGCUGCCUCUUCCACCGCAACAUCAAGGGCUUCAUGGUGCAGACAGGCGACCCUACAGGUACGGGAAAAGGAGGUGAGAGCAUCUGGGGUGAAAACUUCGCCAACGAAAUUCAGGAUGGACUCAAGCACAGUGUGCGGGGAGUGGUCUCCAUGGCAAACAAUGGGCCCAACACAAAUGCAUCACAGUUCUUCAUCACAUACGCCAAGCAGCCCCAUUUGGACCAGAAGUACACAGUCUUUGGAAAGCAAACUUAUGGAGCUUCUCAGCCUCAAUCACCAUAACAGAUUUAUGAAGCCAAAUCACCUGUUCCCUUCUACAAUGUUUGGAUUCGGGGCAGGGCUCUCCACCCAAGAUGUGAUGCUCCAGCUCAAAGAGGAGGGUCAUUGACGGCUUGGACACCCUGGAAGAACUCGAAAAGGUGCCGGUGAACCCAAAGUAUCGGCCUCUUCGAGAUAUCAAGUUAA